RNAcentral lists this long non-coding RNA (601 nucleotides) under Triticum aestivum (bread wheat). RNAcentral describes it as "long non-coding RNA (TAES_LNC005544)". Lineage: Eukaryota; Viridiplantae; Streptophyta; Magnoliopsida; Poales; Poaceae. The record is from RNAcentral.
UCUGUUCCUGCUUUCAGGGCACCCUACUGCAAAUACACCUUCUGGAUCAGGUAUGUAUCAUAUGGCCGUUUGUCUCUCCAGCACGCACAUGAACUACAACCUUAAUCGUGCUCAGUAACAUAUUUUGUGAUUAGAGUCCACCCGUCUAGGCGCCGCCAUCAUCCUCGCACCGUCGCGCGCUGCGCCGGAGACACGGACGAGGUCGAGCAGUAUGUGCCUUCGUCCUCUUCCCUCGGAGUGUGGGACCGAGGAUAAGGACGAGGAGAAGAAAUAUGUGGCAUCUUCAUCGUUGUCUCUUGGCGCGCGGUGCUGGAGAGACAGAAAAGGAGGUCGAGAGCUGGAAGUGCGGCAUAUUGUAGUGUUUUGUUUGAUGGGGAAAUAUCUUUGUAUGCCAGCAUAUUUUGUAGUGGUUUGUUUGAUGGGAACUACCUUUGUAUGCCUGCAUAUUUUGCUUAGGUAUUGAUGAUUCCAUGCUAAAUUUGUACAAGAUUAAAAAAAAAAUUGUGAGUGCAACAACUAUUUGUUAGUUGCACCAAAUUAAAUUCAUACAACUGUGUUACACAGAUCUGCAAAUGCAAAUAAAAAUGUGUGUGUACAUUAG